This 2053-nucleotide ribosomal RNA is filed under the name Escherichia coli 1-110-08_S4_C3. Its description in RNAcentral is "bacterial LSU rRNA". It matches the Rfam family "Bacterial large subunit ribosomal RNA", at positions 38 to 2115 of the family's 2925-position model. Lineage: Bacteria; Pseudomonadati; Pseudomonadota; Gammaproteobacteria; Enterobacterales; Enterobacteriaceae. The record is from RNAcentral.
AGUCAGAGGCGAUGAAGGACGUGCUAAUCUGCGAUAAGCGUCGGUAAGGUGAUAUGAACCGUUAUAACCGGCGAUUUCCGAAUGGGGAAACCCAGUGUGUUUCGACACACUAUCAUUAACUGAAUCCAUAGGUUAAUGAGGCGAACCGGGGGAACUGAAACAUCUAAGUACCCCGAGGAAAAGAAAUCAACCGAGAUUCCCCCAGUAGCGGCGAGCGAACGGGGAGCAGCCCAGAGCCUGAAUCAGUGUGUGUGUUAGUGGAAGCGUCUGGAAAGGCGCGCGAUACAGGGUGACAGCCCCGUACACAAAAAUGCACAUGCUGUGAGCUCGAUGAGUAGGGCGGGACACGUGGUAUCCUGUCUGAAUAUGGGGGGACCAUCCUCCAAGGCUAAAUACUCCUGACUGACCGAUAGUGAACCAGUACCGUGAGGGAAAGGCGAAAAGAACCCCGGCGAGGGGAGUGAAAAAGAACCUGAAACCGUGUACGUACAAGCAGUGGGAGCACGCUUAGGCGUGUGACUGCGUACCUUUUGUAUAAUGGGUCAGCGACUUAUAUUCUGUAGCAAGGUUAACCGAAUAGGGGAGCCGAAGGGAAACCGAGUCUUAACUGGGCGUUAAGUUGCAGGGUAUAGACCCGAAACCCGGUGAUCUAGCCAUGGGCAGGUUGAAGGUUGGGUAACACUAACUGGAGGACCGAACCGACUAAUGUUGAAAAAUUAGCGGAUGACUUGUGGCUGGGGGUGAAAGGCCAAUCAAACCGGGAGAUAGCUGGUUCUCCCCGAAAGCUAUUUAGGUAGCGCCUCGUGAAUUCAUCUCCGGGGGUAGAGCACUGUUUCGGCAAGGGGGUCAUCCCGACUUACCAACCCGAUGCAAACUGCGAAUACCGGAGAAUGUUAUCACGGGAGACACACGGCGGGUGCUAACGUCCGUCGUGAAGAGGGAAACAACCCAGACCGCCAGCUAAGGUCCCAAAGUCAUGGUUAAGUGGGAAACGAUGUGGGAAGGCCCAGACAGCCAGGAUGUUGGCUUAGAAGCAGCCAUCAUUUAAAGAAAGCGUAAUAGCUCACUGGUCGAGUCGGCCUGCGCGGAAGAUGUAACGGGGCUAAACCAUGCACCGAAGCUGCGGCAGCGACACUAUGUGUUGUUGGGUAGGGGAGCGUUCUGUAAGCCUGUGAAGGUGUACUGUGAGGUAUGCUGGAGGUAUCAGAAGUGCGAAUGCUGACAUAAGUAACGAUAAAGCGGGUGAAAAGCCCGCUCGCCGGAAGACCAAGGGUUCCUGUCCAACGUUAAUCGGGGCAGGGUGAGUCGACCCCUAAGGCGAGGCCGAAAGGCGUAGUCGAUGGGAAACAGGUUAAUAUUCCUGUACUUGGUGUUACUGCGAAGGGGGGACGGAGAAGGCUAUGUUGGCCGGGCGACGGUUGUCCCGGUUUAAGCGUGUAGGCUGGUUUUCCAGGCAAAUCCGGAAAAUCAAGGCUGAGGCGUGAUGACGAGGCACUACGGUGCUGAAGCAACAAAUGCCCUGCUUCCAGGAAAAGCCUCUAAGCAUCAGGUAACAUCAAAUCGUACCCCAAACCGACACAGGUGGUCAGGUAGAGAAUACCAAGGCGCUUGAGAGAACUCGGGUGAAGGAACUAGGCAAAAUGGUGCCGUAACUUCGGGAGAAGGCACGCUGAUAUGUAGGUGAGGUCCCUCGCGGAUGGAGCUGAAAUCAGUCGAAGAUACCAGCUGGCUGCAACUGUUUAUUAAAAACACAGCACUGUGCAAACACGAAAGUGGACGUAUACGGUGUGACGCCUGCCCGGUGCCGGAAGGUUAAUUGAUGGGGUUAGCCGCAAGGCGAAGCUCUUGAUCGAAGCCCCGGUAAACGGCGGCCGUAACUAUAACGGUCCUAAGGUAGCGAAAUUCCUUGUCGGGUAAGUUCCGACCUGCACGAAUGGCGUAAUGAUGGCCAGGCUGUCUCCACCCGAGACUCAGUGAAAUUGAACUCGCUGUGAAGAUGCAGUGUACCCGCGGCAAGACGGAAAGACCCCGUGAACCUUUACUAUAGCUUGAC